RNAcentral lists this ribosomal RNA (448 nucleotides) under uncultured bacterium. RNAcentral's name for it is "partial 16S ribosomal RNA". It matches the Rfam family "Bacterial small subunit ribosomal RNA", at positions 338 to 795 of the family's 1533-position model. The record is from RNAcentral.
CCUACGGGCGGCAGCAGUGGGGAAUCUUGCGCAAUGGGCGGAAGCCUGACGCAGCGACGCCGCGUGCGGGACGAAGGCCUUCGGGUCGUAAACCGCUUUCCGCAGGGACGAGGCCCUCACGGUGACGGUACCUGCAGAAGGAGCCCCGGCUAACUACGUGCCAGCAGCCGCGGUAAUACGGAGGGUGCGAGCGUUAGUCGGAAUGACUGGGCGUACAGCGCGCGUAGGCGGUAUGUCAAGUCAAGGGUGAAAUCCCCGCGCUCAACGUUGGAACUGCCUUUGAAACUGGCAAACUGGAGUGUGUGAGAGGAUAGUGGAAUUCCAGGUGUAGGAGUGAAAUCCGUAGAGAUCUGGAGGAACAUCAGUAGCGAAGGCGACUAUCUGGCACAUAACUGACGCUGAGGAGCGAAAGCGUGGGGAGCAAACAGGAUUAGAUACCCGAGUAGUC